RNAcentral lists this small nucleolar RNA (85 nucleotides) under Cephalotus follicularis. RNAcentral describes it as "Plant small nucleolar RNA SNOR75". It matches the Rfam family "Plant small nucleolar RNA SNOR75". Rfam says of the family: U15 is a member of the C/D class of snoRNA which contain the C (UGAUGA) and D (CUGA) box motifs. Lineage: Eukaryota; Viridiplantae; Streptophyta; Magnoliopsida; Oxalidales; Cephalotaceae. The record is from Rfam by way of RNAcentral.
ACUCUAUGAUGACAAAUAAUGAUGACGAUUCUGAUCAUAUAAUUUGUACAUCUUGAUGAAUAGUCGAGGCAUUUGUCUCAGAGAA